RNAcentral lists this microRNA precursor (92 nucleotides) under Oryza sativa Indica Group (long-grained rice). RNAcentral's name for it is "osa-MIR156i". Lineage: Eukaryota; Viridiplantae; Streptophyta; Magnoliopsida; Poales; Poaceae. The record is from RNAcentral.
GGUGACAGAAGAGAGUGAGCACACGGCCGGGCGGAACGGCACCGGCGGAUAGUAGCCGUCGCGGCCGCGUGCUCACUGCUCUGUCUGUCAUC